Molecule: RNA transcript, 1261 nt
Organism: Harmonia axyridis
Lineage: Eukaryota; Metazoa; Arthropoda; Insecta; Coleoptera; Coccinellidae
Gene: Nurf-38
Gene name: inorganic pyrophosphatase
Exons: 8
Source: RefSeq, a predicted model, not a curated record
AACCAAACCGUACCAUUCACAUCUAUGAUCCGAGUUGAUAUUUCGGAAGGAAAAUGUUAACCUUCAAAGUGAUUUUUUUGACAAUGUCAAUGUCAGUACUUUCCCGGCUCGCCACUGGUUUGAAACAAAUUAGGUACAGCAACUGUUCAAGUUGUGUAGCUAGCGUGUCACCAUCGUUUUUGAAAAAAAUGGAAUACAAAACCGUCGAGAGGGGCUCCCCAUAUUCUCCAGAUUACAGGGUCUAUAUCUAUGAUAACAAUGGCCCUAUUUCUCCAUUGCAUGAUAUUCCACUGGUUGUGGAUGCCAACAAGAAAAUUUUCAAUAUGGUUGUGGAAAUACCCAGAUGGACAAAUGCUAAAAUGGAGAUAACAAUGAAGGAAAUACUGAACCCAAUUAAGCAGGAUAUUAAAAAAGGAAAACCUAGGUUUGUAGCAAAUUGCUUCCCACACAAGGGUUAUAUCUGGAAUUAUGGUGCUCUACCUCAAACAUGGGAAAAUCCUGAGCAUUUAGAUGAUGGAACUGGUUGUAAAGGAGAUAAUGAUCCAAUCGAUGUUAUCGAAAUCGGUCAUAGGGUUUGUAAGAGAGGAGAAGUCAUCCCAGUUAAAAUCAUCGGUACCAUAGCUUUAAUAGAUGAAGGGGAAACUGAUUGGAAAUUAAUUGCAAUCAAUGUCAAUGAUCCUAUGGCUGAUCAAAUCAAUGAUGUCGCCGAUGUGGAGAAACAUUUCCCUGGCCUAUUGAAAGCUUCUGUUGAGUGGUUCAAAAUUUAUAAGAUUCCUGAUGGUAAACCAGAAAAUCAGUUUGCUUUCAAUGGAGAGGCUAAAAAUGCACAAUUUGCUCUUAAAAUUGUUGACGAGGUUCAUAAGUUCUGGAAAUCUCUCGUUAAUAAGGAGGUAGAAGCUAAUGGAAUAUCAUGUAUCAACACAUCCAUUGAAGAUAACGAUUUCAAAAUUAGUCAAAGCGAAGCUCUGGAAGUCGUGAAUAAAACUCCAGCUCUAGGAGCUCCUCAUGAUAUUGAAUCAAUAGUUGACAAAAUUUAUUAUUUCACACAUUCGUGCAGAUGUAAAUUGUAAUUGUAUGAAGUCAAUCCAAUGAAGAAUAAGAAUAUUUGGUUGGCGCUCAUCUUGUGAUCAGAAAAAAUUGACAAGUGGCACUACGUUCAUCUUAAGUAGGAUGACCUCCCACUCCAAAUCCCAACACCAGGCAUGGCAUUUUUUUUUGCUGAUUUAUAGCUGUAAUACAAAAAUAAAAAGAAUAAUUAAGA